This is a long non-coding RNA of Hippopotamus amphibius kiboko, 955 nucleotides long. RefSeq lists it as uncharacterized. The record is from RefSeq and is a predicted model, not a curated record. The transcript has 2 exons. NCBI's taxonomy places the organism in Eukaryota, Metazoa, Chordata, Mammalia, Artiodactyla, Hippopotamidae.
GAGUCUGGCCCCUCCCUGGGGCUGGCGGGCGGGGUUCUGCCGAGCUGGGGGGGUCCGGGCACCGUCGCCCCUACAGGGUGGAGCCGUGGCCCAGCCGCUCGAGGGAUCGAGGGCAGCAUCCUCUCCCGCACGGGGCCUGGCGAGCGACGUGGCUUGUGAUGGAGAAGGGCGGUCAUCCCGUCCGCCUCCUGCCCUACACACAACGAAAGCAGCGCCUGUAAAUCUGCUCGUUGCAGGACAAGCCCCGUUUCUGCUCUGUGAUAUGCAUGGUUGGGGCGUGUUCUCUGCAGCCGUCAGGACGGCCCUCUCCCAGGAAGCUGCUUCUGUGCCUGUUCACUUCCUCUCUCUCGCUCAGGAUGAGUGUGGGUGAUGAGGGCGGGGGGCAGGGGGCGGGGUUUUUGUGUUGUUUUUUUUUAUUUCCAAAACGACCUUUAGUGCAAAGUCCCGCCAGGUGUACAGUCCAGAAGUCCCAUUUUAUAGGCAAGGACACCGAGAACCAGUGGAUCAAAUUUAAGGUCAUCCUGCUGCCACCUCUCUCCAGAUUCAUCAAGAGUUUUCCAGGAAAGAGCAAGUUUCCCUGCUUGGAGCUGCCCUUCCGCUCAGCGCUCCUCCGUUCAUUCCUGCUGGGUUAUUGGUUCUCUCGUUCAUUCUCUCCACGAGCACACGUGAAUUCUGAAACCAACAGGGCCGCAUCCAUGCUUUGAAGGAGCUCACCGUCUUGCGAGCACAGCGUUUUAGGUGGGGUGAGCGCAGGAGUGAAGAGAAGGGUGGGGGCGCUGGGACCUGGGGCGUCAGAGUGGGGGCAGGGAAGCCUGCUCCUGGGCCCUACGGUCUGCACUGGCCGCGUUUCCUCCCGCCUUCCCACGGAUGCUGGCUUCCAUGCCUCUGGCCUGGAACCACAUGUAAUCAAAGCCAUAUGUUCUACUUGGAUUAAUUAAAUGGUGGCCUCAGCAAA